Molecule: ribosomal RNA, 561 nt
Filed under: Triticum aestivum (bread wheat)
Lineage: Eukaryota; Viridiplantae; Streptophyta; Magnoliopsida; Poales; Poaceae
Description: partial small subunit ribosomal RNA
Source: RNAcentral
AUGGCGUCGGCGGGGCCUUCCCCUGCCAAGUGCAGCGGCUCCUUGGCUGGAUCACCGUCGCACACCUCGCCGGCGUGGUCGGCAAGAUCUGCAUCUCGAUCCUCACCACUCUCCAUCCUCUUGCAGGUGGCAAGUAUGCAUUCAGAUGUUGCAGCUCUAAGGAAGGGUAGUAUAUGGCACAUGGCUUCGUGGGUUGUUCGACAAGAAGUGUUUUGGGCAUAUUCGAAAGGCAAUCUUGUCAAAAUUGUACAUCGAUUUUCUUAUUCCACCAUCAUGACACAUGCAUCUGUAACUUACCCAUUGGAUGUUGUUCGAAAUCACCUGACAACACAGAAAACCACUAGGUAUUACAAGGGCAUCUUUCACAUGUUGUCUACAAUUUGUAGAGAAGAGAGUGGUAGAGGAUUGUAUAAAGGCCUUUGGUCCACCUUAUUGGGAGUUGGACCUGAUAUAUCAAUCAACGUUUAUGUAUAUGAAUCACUGAGGUCUCAUUGGCAAAUGGAAAAUUUGAGCCUUGGCUCCGGUUUUGAUAGCUCUAUAUCAGUGAGUUUAGUACAGUAA